RNAcentral lists this ribosomal RNA (465 nucleotides) under uncultured bacterium. Its description in RNAcentral is "partial 16S ribosomal RNA". It matches the Rfam family "Bacterial small subunit ribosomal RNA", at positions 338 to 795 of the family's 1533-position model. The record is from RNAcentral.
CCUACGGGCGGCAGCAGUAGGGAAUCUUCCACAAUGGGCGAAAGCCUGAUGGAGCAACGCCGCGUGGGUGAAGAAGGUCUUCGGAUCGUAAAACCCUGUUGUUAGAGAAGAAAGUGCGUGAGAGUAACUGUUCACGUUUCGACGGUAUCUAACCAGAAAGCCAAGGCUAACUACGUGACAGCAGCCGCGGUAAGACGUAGGUGGCAAGCGUUAUCCGGAUUUAUUGGGGGUAAAGGGAACGCAGGCGGUCCUUUAAGUCUGAUGUGAAAGCCUUCGGCUUAACCGGAGUAGUGCAUUGGAAACUGGGAGACUUGAGUGCAGAAGAGGAGAGUGGAACUCCAUGUGUAGCGGUGAAAUGCGUAGAGAUAUGGAAGAACACCAGUGGCGAAAGCGGCUCUCUGGUCUGUAACUGACGCUGAGGUUCGAAAGCGUGGGUAGCAAACAGGAUUAGAUACCCCGGUAGUC